RNAcentral lists this ribosomal RNA (253 nucleotides) under uncultured bacterium. RNAcentral's name for it is "partial 16S ribosomal RNA". It matches the Rfam family "Bacterial small subunit ribosomal RNA", at positions 524 to 776 of the family's 1533-position model. The record is from RNAcentral.
UACGUAGGGCGCAAGCGUUAUCCGGAAUUAUUGGGCGUAAAGAGCUCGUAGGCGGUUUGUCGCGUCUGCCGUGAAAGUCCGGGGCUCAACUCCGGAUCUGCGGUGGGUACGGGCAGACUAGAGUGAUGUAGGGGAGACUGGAAUUCCUGGUGUAGCGGUGAAAUGCGCAGAUAUCAGGAGGAACACCGGUGGCGAAGGCGGGUCUCUGGGCCGUAACUGACGCUGAGGAGCGAAAGCAUGGGGAGCGAACCGG